GCAUUGGUGGCUCAGUGGUAAAAUUCUCACUUUUCCUGUGGGAGACCUGGGUUCAAUUCCUAGCCAAUGCA
Transfer RNA from Loxodonta africana (African savanna elephant), 71 nucleotides. It matches the Rfam family "tRNA". From Rfam's summary of the family: Transfer RNA (tRNA) molecules are approximately 80 nucleotides in length. Their secondary structure includes four short double-helical elements and three loops (D, anti-codon, and T loops). Lineage: Eukaryota; Metazoa; Chordata; Mammalia; Proboscidea; Elephantidae. The record is from Rfam.